UUUUUUUUUUUUUUUGCCUCUCCUAUCAUUUUAUCACCUUCAACUUGAAUGAUAUCACUCCUCUGCAUUGCUUCUUUUUCAUGCUGUGCGUCAUCCCAUCUUAUACCUUGUUUUUUUUUUGAUAAGAAAAGGAUAUGCAUUAAAAAGGCAAAACGCCACAAAGUAUACAGGGAGUAUACAAGGCAGCUAAGGCCUCAAAAAACAAAGACAAAAAGAAUCACCUCCCUUUAGGUGGAUGCUAUCCACUCUAGGAAGCCUAUAAGGGAGAAUGCCUCCUCACCUACAUACAAUUUGGCCCAACUCCACAAAUUACAGACAAAAAAAUUCUUUAACUUCUGAACGUUCAACACACCCCCCCUAAAAGCUAAUCUAUUCCUCUCCUUCCACACCAUCCAAAAAAUACACAACGGAAUGGCGUCCCAGAUCUUUUUCCUUUUCUUUCCCACAAACGAGCCCCUCCAACUAGCUAAAACUUCCUUUACAGUUUUUGGAAAAACCCAUUUCACAUCAACUAAACCAAAAACAAUAUCCCAUAAAGCUCUAACCACUAUACAAUGUAUAAGGAUAUGAUUUACACUUUCUUCUUCACAUCCAGACAAGAAGCAACAAUUUGGAAGUUGCAGUCCUCUUCUUUGAAGUCUAUCCAAAGUAAGCACCUUCCCCCACGUCGCCUCCCACGCGAAAAAAGCAACUUUAGUUGGCACCCUUGCCACCCAGAUGCUUCUUGAGGGAAAGCCUGUGUCAUCAGACUUCGCCAACAAACUAUAAGCUUCCUUAACCCUGAACUGACCACUUCUUCCUUGCCUCCACAAGACUGAGUCUUCCUCCAAUGAGGUUUGUGACCCCUCAAUAUAUGGAGAAAAUCCCCAACCAAAUCCAACUCCCAAUCAUUGAAAUCCCUCAAAAAAUUUAGGUUCCAACUUCCUUGACCCGAACUUUGAUCCCACAUUUCCUCAACCGUUGAGUUCCUUUGAACAGUCAUACCAAAGAGAUGAGGAAAACAGUGGGACAACGCUGACUCUGAACACCACACAUCUGUCCAAAAUCUGAUCGUGUUGCCCUUUCCUACUCGGAAUAUCAUGUUAUCCCAACACCACUCUGAUUCUUUCCAAAUCUCCUUCCAAACCCCUACUCCAACCGCCCCAUCUUAUACCUUGUUAUGAUUGCAUUCAUUUCUUGUUUUAUCUUUCCUCAUAUUGCCACCCAAUAAUCAUUAUAUUUUCAUUUCAGCUAUUCAUAAUGGCUUGAAAUUUGAUACCACAAGCAUAGCUGGGUAUGUAAUCAUCAUUAAAAUUUUCCUUUAACUUGAUAAGAUUCUAUAAUCACAUGACAGUCCAGAUGCCUUGCCCGCUUCAUUCAUCUACUCUCAAUUCUACAAGAAAAACCCUCCUCAAUCUCCCUUUACUUGGGGAUUAUGGAUCCAAAAUAACAGAAAUAUAAUCAUUAAUAUUCAUUAUACUCCGCUU
This 1466-nucleotide long non-coding RNA is filed under the name Vitis vinifera (wine grape). RNAcentral's name for it is "long non-coding RNA (VVIN_LNC002113)". Lineage: Eukaryota; Viridiplantae; Streptophyta; Magnoliopsida; Vitales; Vitaceae. The record is from RNAcentral.